GCGGGCGUGGUGGAAUGGCAGACACGCCAGACUUAGGAUCUGGUGCCGCAAGGCGUGAGAGUUCGAGUCUCUCCGCCCGCACCA
RNAcentral lists this transfer RNA (84 nucleotides) under Azospirillum sp. RNAcentral's name for it is "tRNA-Leu". It matches the Rfam family "tRNA". Rfam says of the family: Transfer RNA (tRNA) molecules are approximately 80 nucleotides in length. Their secondary structure includes four short double-helical elements and three loops (D, anti-codon, and T loops). Lineage: Bacteria; Pseudomonadati; Pseudomonadota; Alphaproteobacteria; Rhodospirillales; Azospirillaceae. RNAcentral also lists the same sequence under 3 other names. The record is from RNAcentral.